RNAcentral lists this transfer RNA (72 nucleotides) under Botryococcus braunii. Its description in RNAcentral is "tRNA-Gly". It matches the Rfam family "tRNA". From Rfam's summary of the family: Transfer RNA (tRNA) molecules are approximately 80 nucleotides in length. The record is from RNAcentral. RNAcentral also lists the same sequence under 1 other name. Lineage: Eukaryota; Viridiplantae; Chlorophyta; Trebouxiophyceae.
GCGGAAGUAGCUCAUUGGCAGAGCAUUGCCUUGCCAAGGCAAUGGGAGAGGGUUCGAUUCCCUUCUUCCGCU